Molecule: long non-coding RNA, 641 nt
Filed under: Microcebus murinus (gray mouse lemur)
Lineage: Eukaryota; Metazoa; Chordata; Mammalia; Primates; Cheirogaleidae
Description: lncRNA (ENSMICG00000048544.1)
Source: RNAcentral
UGAUCAGUUAACAAUCCAUAUCACAAGCCAGAUGGCAGGAGAGCCAAAGUUCCUUUUAUUUUUCAUCUUACAUAUUCUUACAUAUGCAUGACAUAGUUCAUAAAUAGAAGUUUUAAAACUUAAAGCAAAAUAAAAGAUUGUGGGUAUUUUUAACACAUAAAAUCUAACUGCCACACUUAAUUAUAUUUAUCAGAUUUGAUGACAUCAUUUUCUAAAAUUGAAUUUCUAUUUAUUUGCUUUUCUUUCAGAAUAAAAAGGAAUGUCCUAAUUGUGAAAUCAGAAAUCCAUUUUGAAUUCUUCAUAAAAAUGAAGAUGCAGCUGUGUCCUUCUGGUAACAGUGCUGCCAGCACCUUCCAAAGAUGGAUGCUCAACCUGAUGACCCAUUUGUGACAAAGAGAAAUACAGCAGCUGCGCGUCUUAGAAUGCUCACGCCAGCAUGGUAAGUGUGGCUUCUCUCUCUGUGGGCAGAUUUCUAAUUGCAAGCAGUGCCAGCUACAUCAUUUAUGGGGCCCUGUGCAACAUGAAAAUGUGAGAUCCAUUGUUCAAAAAGCAGAGAAAAAUUUUGACUAAAGGAACUAAAAUAUAAAGCUCUUCUCUAUCUUCCAUGGUCUUUCUUUCAGUUUGUCCUAAGAGAAUUUGCU